RNAcentral lists this ribosomal RNA (253 nucleotides) under uncultured bacterium. RNAcentral describes it as "partial 16S ribosomal RNA". It matches the Rfam family "Bacterial small subunit ribosomal RNA", at positions 524 to 776 of the family's 1533-position model. The record is from RNAcentral.
UACGUAGGGUGCGAGCGUUAAUCGGAAUUACUGGGCGUAAAGCGUGCGUAGGCGGUCCGCGAAGUCUGAUGUGAAAGCCCCGGGCUCAACCUGGGAACUGCAUUGGAAACUAACGGGCUCGAGCGUGGCAGAGGGGGGUGGAAUUCCACGUGUAGCAGUGAAAUGCGUAGAGAUGUGGAGGAACACCGAUGGCGAAGGCAGCCCCCUGGGCUAACACUGACGCUCAGGCACGAAAGCGUGGGGAGCAAACGGG